Molecule: long non-coding RNA, 1254 nt
Organism: Lactuca sativa (garden lettuce)
Lineage: Eukaryota; Viridiplantae; Streptophyta; Magnoliopsida; Asterales; Asteraceae
Source: RefSeq, a predicted model, not a curated record
UUCAAAGUUUGAGCCAAACGACACCACCAUCAUCACUACCUUCAACCAUAAGCAUCGUCAUCAUUUUCACUGUGUUCAAUUACGAAAUCUAACCAUAGUGACCCGAAUAACCAUCACCACUCACAUUGAUUCCAAUUUUGAUUUCCCUUUCCCAUCUUUCAUAAACCCCACUGUUGCCACCUAUUACCACCAAUUGCAUUACCGCACACAACCCCCUUCUCUCUAAUAAACCGAAGAUCUAAACAAGAAGUCACAGAAAAUAGGCUAUAGAGUUCUAUACAUCUGUUUAACUAAGCUAUAUAGUUCUAUGUAUCUCUUUAACUGUGUAUGUGUGUGUUUGUGAUUACAGGUCCUAAAUCUCGACCCUCUCUCUAUAUCUGUCCAUAUCUAGGUUCCGAAUCUUGGCCCUGUCAAUAACCUUCAGUGAUGUUUGGUUUGAAAGAGAAAUAAAGCAUUUUUAUAUUGAUUUACAGGGGAGUGUGGAUGUAGCAGGGAAUGAGUAAGGGGUAUAUUGGUCAUUUUGAAGAAAACAAUGAAUUGGUGUGCAUAUAACUGUAUAUGUUUGUGGCUGUGGCAGAGUCUUCAAGUUUUCUAUUUCACAUUCUUCUGCAAGUUCUAACCUAAAGUUUUGAGUUGGGAGACUAGAAAUUAUUAAAAAACUGAGCACUCUGCCAUGUUUAUACUAUUGAAUAUCUUUAGGUGCUGCUUGGGUAUGCUCUAUUACAAACUAUUACACCCAAUGCUUUUUGAAUUCGGAUUCUUUCAGGCCUACGGGUAUGUAUAUAAGUCUGAAGAUAACAUUAAAAUGCCUCCGCUUCUGUUUUGAUCCGUACCCAUUCAAUCCUAAAAAAUCUUAGUAAGUUCCUUUUAAACUAUAUUGUAGGAAAUUUAGAAUUUUCCACUUGGAUUCAAAGGAAAAAGGUAUUGUGUAAGCAUAUAUGUCCCUUUCUUUAUACCCUGUAUUCAAUUGUGAGUUUAAAGGAAAAAUGUUUUUUUGUUUUGAGUCAAAUGCAGCUUUGAUUUUGACUCUUUUGAGUAAUAUGUUGCCUGUGUUUUCACUCUGAAAACUUGUGUUUUUUUUUAUAUUGUGAAGGUAAAAGUAACGUUUAGUAUUAAUGUUUUACAACUAAAUUCAAACUAAUCAUCAAUAAUAGUGUUUGAUAGGCAAGUUCAAAGUAAUUUAAAUUACUUUUGGUUGAGUUCUUUUUUUGGGUUUAAAAUGAUAUCAUUCUAUUUGUUGGGGUUGAUGUAUGU